UCGCUUCCUCAACACUCAGAGGUUGUGCUGGAGCAGGAGGCUUUUUUCGUGUGAAAACCCUCAAAGCAAAGAUAGUUCACCUUUCCAUAUAGAGAACCCACUAUUACUCAAAACAACACUUGGGAUCAUUCCAAUUAGUUAUUUAUUUGAAGUCCCACCACUUCUUUCUGUGACUACAGAUAGGCUCCGGGGGGCAUGAUUUGUUUUUUCCUUAUGGCCGUGAUGAUAUUAGGUUUCUUAACGUACUGCGUCAGGAAUGUUCCACUUGCUAAACUUUUUGAGGGCUUCUUCCUUCAGUAACAUAUUCAGCUAAACAUGAAGUCCUCCAAAGAGGUUUUCUCGUUCCCUAUCUUAUUUCUCCCUGAGCUCUGAAAUGGAAAUAUAUGCACGAGUAAUAAUACAUCGUAAGGUUCUUUGAAGCAUCUAUAAUGUUUCUCAAGGGCUCGUGUCAUUCAGCUUCACUUCUGCUCCUCAAGGUCUGAAAAGCUCGAAAAGCAUCAUUCUUAUUUGGCCAGUCUCUGUGCAUUUUCUCUCUUCAGAGAGGAAAUGGUGAAGAGAUGAGCAAAUGGAGGAUGGCGGAGGGAGUUGAGAGAGGGCAGAACAGGCUCAGAGACAAGAAAGGAGGCCAUAGAGACCUGACAGCCCAACAGUGAUGGGAUCCCAAGCCCCUGGAAACCCUGCCGGUGUGAUGCUGAAUGAAUCUGUUCUCACUUUACCUGGAAAACCAGUUUCUUCCUGAGCCCAUGAGUCAGUUGCUAAGGAGCAGAGUUGCCUGUGAAUAGCGGAGUCCCUAGCCAGCAGGGAAAGAGCUCAUAAAGAAAGUCAGAUCAGGAAUAAAGAGAUUUCCUUCCCAUAUAUGAAUGCUCAUGGCUUUCUUCAUGAGCCCUUUACCUAUUUAAGUAGCAGGAAAAUAACUACAUUUAGUGCAAUUUAGUCUUUUUUUUAAAUUGAAGUAUAAUUGAUUUAUAAUAUCAUGUCAGUUUCAGGUAUAUAGCAUAGUGAUUCAGUUAUACGAGAAGUAUAUGUAUAUAUGAUGGAGAAGUAUAUGUAUAUACUUUUUAAGAUGAUUUUUCCAUAUAGGUUGUUAUAGAAUAUUGAAUAUAGUUAUUCAAUAUAGUUCCCUGUGCUAUAGAAUAGGUCCCCAAUUUAGUCUUAAGGUUAGUUCUGCCCAAUCAUCUGCACAGAAUCUUUAUUUUUAUUUUUUCAUUUUUUUGUAUUUUUAGGGCUGCGCACAAAGCAUAUGGAGGUUCCCAGGCUAGAGGUCCAAUCAGAGCUGUAGCCACUGGCCUACACCACAGCCACAGCAACGCGGGAUCUGAGCUGCAUCUGUGACCUACACCACAGCUCACGGCAAUGCCAGAUCCUUAACCCACUGAGUGAGGCCAGGGAUCGAACCUGCGUCCUCAUGGAUACUAGUCAGAUUCAUUUCCGCUGAGCCACAAUCGAUGGGAAUUCCUACACAGAAUCUUUAGAUUCACUUGUUUUUCUACUAAGUUCUUCAUAGCUCUUGUCUCCCUCUCCUGCUCCUCUCUCCAGAUCCUGGGACCCAUGGCACUGGGGGAAGGGAACUCCUGGCUUUGCACUUGUGCCUGGGUGUGAGGUGCCUGGUGUCUGCUGAGGAAUGCUCAGCCCCACCCCGAUGGCUGGUGUCCACAGCUGGCAUCUGUGGCUGAAGUACUUGUGGUCUAUUUCUGCUUGGCUUGUUCAGAGUCUAGGUGCCCUCCCUGAAGACUUACCCCCACUGCCCACUCCACUCUUGCGGGUAAAGACCCUACUGGGUCUCUGCCAUAGCUGCAAUGUCUGGCCCUAGCCAUCAGCUCUAGCACUGAUGCUGGGGGGGAGGGGGGGUCAUCUCAGUCAGCCCAGCAGCCUCCUGCAGAUCUGUGGAUUCCCAAACGAGCAUCCACUCCAGAUGAAAACAGGAAAAGCUGAACCCUACAAGCAGGUCCUUUUUUCAACCUGAAUAUCCCACUCCACGCUCUGAAUAUGUAGGGCCCUCUCUAUAGUUUUAGGGUUAGUUGUCUCCAUUCCCAACAAAGGGUGGGUCAAAAAUCCUUGAGCUCUCACUGUGCUCCCAGCCUAUCCACCACCCCUCCUCACUCCAUGGAGCUCUGAUGACCUAGACAGGAGAGAUGCAGAUAGCGAUAUUCUUCCUUACUUCUCUGAACUCAUGGCCCCAGGAUCUUCUCUCCAUGAUCCUUAGGCCAGGAUGGGCACACUUUUCUUUGAGGUCCCCUUCUUCUCUCCAUUACAUUGUAGAAUGUGUUUUUACCAAUUAUGAAUGUGUUGCACCAGGACUAAUUACUAGAGAAAUUUAGAAAAUUCUAGCUUCCUAAUGCCUGCUUUAAAGGCUGUUACCUUGCUUCGAAUCCUAUGUUGAACAUCAAAAGUCCAAUAACCAAUUUCCCUUUAUUUUUACUUUCCAAUAACCUUCCUCUAUUGACAAAGAAGCUGAUCACAAAUACUGAAAAAUAAAACAGAAAGAGUAUUAAUAUCAUUCAAAAUAUCAUGCUCACUCUGUGUGUUCUGAGGAAGAGACUGAAUUGCUGGGAGCAGGUUAGCUUGAGGGAGAAGCGAUGUCCUUCCGGGGCUCCCUCCUCCACUGCUUGGGCCUCAGAAUGGCUAAUGCUUCUGACUGGUAUUGGGUUAGCAGGGUAGCAUCUCCCAUUCCAUCCCCUAGAAAUGAUCUGUCCCCGACCAGCCACCUUCCCCUGGGAUGCCACCAAAUCUUGGGGCUGAAAAUGAAAUCUUUGGGUUCUUCCAUUCAUUCAUCAGACAUUUAUAAAGUGUCUACGAUGGGACAUAUACUGGUCAAAAUGCUGUAAGACACAGAAAUAAGAUAGGAGUUCCCACUGUGGUGCAGCGGAAAUGAAUCUGACUGGUAUCGAUGAGAACAGGUUGUAUCCCUGUCGUCACUUGGUUGAGGAUCCUGCCUUGCCGUGAGCUGUGGUGUAGGUUGUAGAUGCAGCUCUGAUCUCGCGUUGCUGUGGCUGUGGUAUAGGCUGGUAGCUGUAGCUCCAAUUUGACCCAUGGCUUGGGAACUUCCAUAUGCUGCAGGUGCGGCCCUAAAAAGCAGGCAAGCAAGCAAGAAGGAAAAGAUAGAAUAAAAUAAAUCUGCAAGAAAUCAUUGUUGCUAAGAAUUUGAGCCUCUCUCCCAAUAUCUUUUAUCCAAAGAAGCUCAAAUCAGUGAAAUGAAUUUCUUUUAGUUUCCUCUACCUGCCUUCUGAGGACCAAGAGGUGUUUAAACCUUAUUCAUUCAUUCAUCCCUUCAACAAACAUUUAUCAAUUAUCCAUUACACGCUAGACACAGUGCUAAGUUCUGGGGACACUGAGGUGAUGAAGAUGUAUUAUCUUCUGCAAAGCUUUCUAGAUCAUUAUGAAUAUAGACAUUUCAAUGGCAAGAGUAAUGCAGUGUUAUAGCUCUUCCUACCACCCCUUGUUUAUGAACUUUAUACAACAUCUAUUACACCAUCUGCAGUAAGUGCCAGGAGAGGCAUGGUCAAGUUGAUCUUCAAUUGAGGGAGAAGGUAAUCAGGAAGGAGAAGUGAAGAAGGUCAUGGCCUAAUUGAGACCUCCGUUAUUCAGUUUAUUUGUUGGUCUGCUUGUUUUCUUGUAAGCGAGGACAGGUUGCUAAGCAGAAGUUUUUGCAAGCGCAAGACCUGAAGGGGAUCAGCAGUACGAAGGUUCCAGGAGCGGUACGAAGGUUCCAGAUGGACUGAGAGUGGAAGGAGCCUGUGGAGCAGAAGGAGGCUGAGGCUGGCUCCUUGGGCAGAUGCCAGCCAGUGGGAGGGGAGGCCAUUUCCUGGGUCUUUUCACAUCGCACCCCAUCAGCUCAUAAAGCCAGUCAUAACCAAGGCUUCAAAAAGAGGCCAUGGGCAAGGGCCAGAGAGAAGCAAGAACUGGUAGUUCCAUAGUGAACAAUCAAGCCUCAGGCAAUUUCAAAAAAUCUGAGUGUGACAUCUGCUGCUUUUGCCAUGACAUUUAUUCUGUAUUCUCAGCCCCUAGAAACCCCAACAAAACCAUCUCCCUAGAGAGGAAGAAAUUUUCAGUACUAUGAAAAUUCCUUCAAUCUUUUUUUUGUGUGUGUGUGUCUUUUUAGGCCGCACCCAGGGCAUAUGGAGGUUCCCAGGCUAGGGGUCGAAUCGGAGCCACAGCAAUGCCAGAUCUGCUGGCCUAUACCACAGCCACAGCAAUGCCAGAUCUGAGCUGCAUCUGUGACCUACACCACAGCUCAUAGCAAUGCCGGAUCCCCAACCCACUGAGCAAGGCCAGGGAUCGAACCUACAACCUAUGGUUCCUAGUUGGAUUCGUUUCCGCUGCAUCACAAAAGGAACUCCCAAUCAUUUCUAAUAUCCAUUUGAAUCAGAGUGACUUUUAUACUCUUCACUUAAUUUUGCUCUUCACUUUAAGUCUGUUUAUAUUUGAUCCUCAUAAGCUGCUAGUGUCUACACAUAGUAGGUCCUUCCCAACUACCUACUUCUUUCAGGAUAGUUGAACAAGAAAGAUGCAGCAAAUGCCAAUUUUCAUGUUUUUACAGAUAGAACAUGAGAAAGCAGAGGCAAAGUCUAGUUAAGAAAGAGUAAUAGCUAGUUAUCGAGCCCUUGUAUACACAGAUAGUAUGAUCAGCAGGUAUGUAGAUUAGUGCUUCAAAACCUUAUAACAAUUUUGUCAGGCAGGUACCAGUAUUAUUAUACCUAUUAUAAAGAUGAAGAAACUGGAGUUCCCAUCAUGGCUCAGUGGUAACGAACUUGACUAGUAUCCAUGAGGAUGAGGGUUUGAUCCCUGGCCUUGCUCAGUGGGCUAAGUAUCUGGCGUUGCCGAAAGCUGUGGUGUAGUUGGAAGGCGUGGCUUGGGUCCUGCAUUGCUGUAGCUGUGGUGUAGACCAGAAGGUUUUGCUCCGAUUUGACCCCUAGCCUGGGUACAUAUGCUGCGGGUGAGGCCCU
This 4943-nucleotide long non-coding RNA is filed under the name Sus scrofa (pig). RNAcentral's name for it is "lncRNA (ENSSSCG00060045111.1)". Lineage: Eukaryota; Metazoa; Chordata; Mammalia; Artiodactyla; Suidae. The record is from RNAcentral.